Molecule: transfer RNA, 63 nt
Filed under: Mactra antiquata
Lineage: Eukaryota; Metazoa; Mollusca; Bivalvia; Venerida; Mactridae
Description: tRNA-Asp
Source: RNAcentral
GCGGAGGUAGUUUAAAUAGAAUAUAAAAUUGUCGAUUUUAUGGUACCGUAUUGGUUCUUUGCU